UGACCUCAUCUCAAAGACAAUUAAUAGCCUGUGGUCUUCACAUAAACAGCAACAAGACAAGGACUCACAGGCACUGGACAGCUAAGCAGCAGAUCUGCUAAGAAGUGGUCAGAUUUUUGGAGCCCUUAGGGAAGUACUGUACCUAUUGAACGGUGUUCAGGGAAUUGAGAGUGUUCAAGAUCAUUUGCAAUAAAUCAGUGGGAUCUGAAGGACUGAGCCUCAGGUUGGAACUCUGCACAGCCCUGAAUUCUGGACCUGCCACUACCACCCUCUCUAGGGCAUGCCGGCACUCAGAUUUAUAGUGAUCUUCCAGUCUAUCAGGUUUUACGAGGGUGCUUCAUGCAGAGACACUGGAAGCAUGUAAACGCAGAG
RNAcentral lists this long non-coding RNA (372 nucleotides) under Athene cunicularia (burrowing owl). Its description in RNAcentral is "lncRNA (ENSACUG00000014117.1)". The record is from RNAcentral. Lineage: Eukaryota; Metazoa; Chordata; Aves; Strigiformes; Strigidae.